Molecule: ribosomal RNA, 492 nt
Filed under: uncultured bacterium
Lineage: Bacteria
Description: partial 16S ribosomal RNA
Rfam family: Bacterial small subunit ribosomal RNA
Source: RNAcentral
AGUGAACGCUGGCGGUAUGCCUAACACAUGCAAGUCGAACGGCAGCACAGUAAGAGCUUGCUCUUACGGGUGGCGAGUGACGGACGGGUGAGGAAUACAUCGGCAUCUACUUUUUCUUGGGGGAUAACGUAGGGAAACUUAUGCUAAUACCGCAUACUUCCUACGGGUGAAAUCAGGGGAUCUUCGAACCUUUCCCGAUUCAAUUGGCCGAUGUCGGAUUAGCUAGUUGGCGGGGUAAAGGCCCACCAAGGCGACGAUCCGUAGCUGGUCUGAGAGGAUGAUCAGCCACACUGGAACUGAGACACGGUCCAGACUCCUACGGGAGGCAGCAGUGGGGAAUAUUGGACAAUGGGCGCAAGCCUGAUGCAGCCAUACCGCGUGGGUGAAGAAGGCCUUCGGGUUGUAAAGCCCUUUUGUUGGGAAAGAAAAGAAGCAGGUUAAUACCCCGCUGUUCUGACGGUACCCAAAGAAUAAGCACCGGCUAACUUCGUG